RNAcentral lists this ribosomal RNA (492 nucleotides) under uncultured bacterium. Its description in RNAcentral is "partial 16S ribosomal RNA". It matches the Rfam family "Bacterial small subunit ribosomal RNA", at positions 29 to 507 of the family's 1533-position model. The record is from RNAcentral.
AGUGAACGCUGGCGGUAGGCCUAACACAUGCAAGUCGAACGGCAGCACAGUAAGAGCUUGCUCUUACGGGUGGCGAGUGGCGGACGGGUGAGGAAUACAUCGGAAUCUACUUUUUCGUGGGGGAUAACGUAGGGAAACUUACGCUAAUACCGCAUACGACCUACGGGUGAAAGCAGGGGAUCUUCGGACCCUGCGCGAUUGAAUGAGCCGAUGUCGGAUUAGCUAGUUGGCGGGGUAAAGGCCCACCAAGGCGACGAUCCGUAGCUGGUCUGAGAGGAUGAUCAGCCACACUGGAACUGAGACACGGUCCAGACUCCUACGGGAGGCAGCAGUGGGGAAUAUUGGACUAUGGGCGCAAGCCUGAUCCAGCCAUACCGCGUGGGUGAAGAAGGCCUUCGGGUUGUAAAGCCCUUUUGUUGGGAAAGAAAAGCAGCAGGUUAAUACCCCGCUGUUCUGACGGUACCCAAAGAAUAAGCACCGGCUAACUUCGUG